ACAGUCACACGAGUUGAUCAUGGCUCAGGAUGAACGCUGGCGGCGUGCCUAAUACAUGCAAGUCGAACGGUGUAUAUAAUUUAUUAUAUACAUAGUGGCGAACGGGUGAGUAACGCGUUGGUGACCUGCCCUAAAGCGGGGGACAACAGUUCGAAAGGGCUGCUAAUACCCCAUGUGGUUGUUCGGGAUUAGAAGCGGACAACUAAAGGAUAGCCCUGUGAGGGGAAAUUCGCUUUAGGAGGGGCCUGCGUCCCAUCAGCUAGUUGGUAGGGUAAAGGCCUACCAAGGCGUAGACGGGUAGGGGACCUGAGAGGGUGGCCCCCCACAAUGGAACUGAAACACGGUCCAUACACCUACGGGUGGCAGCAGUAGGGAAUAUUGCACCAUGGACGGAAGUCUGAUGCAGCAACGCCGCGUGAGUGAUGAAGGCCUUGGGUCGUAAAACUACUUUUCUAGGGGAAGAGGAAGGACGGUACCCUUGGAAUAAGCAUCGGCUAACUAACGUG
RNAcentral lists this ribosomal RNA (506 nucleotides) under uncultured bacterium. RNAcentral's name for it is "bacterial SSU rRNA". It matches the Rfam family "Bacterial small subunit ribosomal RNA", at positions 1 to 507 of the family's 1533-position model. The record is from RNAcentral.